AGAGUUUGAUCCUGGCUCAGGAUGAACGCUAGCUACAGGCUUAACACAUGCAAGUCGAGGGGCAGCAUUGGAGUAGCAAUACUCAGAUGGCGACCGGCGCACGGGUGAGUAACACGUAUCCAACCUGCCGCUUACUCGGGGAUAGCCUUUCGAAAGAAAGAUUAAUACCCGAUGGUAUAAAGAGUUCGCAUGUUCUCUUUAUUAAAGAAUUUCGGUAAGCGAUGGGGAUGCGUUCCAUUAGAUAGUUGGCGGGGUAACGGCCCACCAAGUCUACGAUGGAUAGGGGUUCUGAGAGGAAGGUCCCCCACAUUGGAACUGAGACACGGUCCAAACUCCUACGGGAGGCAGCAGUGAGGAAUAUUGGUCAAUGGACGAGAGUCUGAACCAGCCAAAGUAGCGUGAAGGAUGACUGCCCUAUGGGUUGUAAACUUCUUUUACAAGGGAAUAAAGUGAGGGACGUGUCCCUUUUUGUAUGUACCUUAUGAAUAAGGAUCGGCUAACUCCGUGCCAGCCGCCGC
Molecule: ribosomal RNA, 518 nt
Filed under: uncultured bacterium
Lineage: Bacteria
Description: bacterial SSU rRNA
Rfam family: Bacterial small subunit ribosomal RNA
Source: RNAcentral